Molecule: ribosomal RNA, 495 nt
Filed under: uncultured bacterium
Lineage: Bacteria
Description: partial 16S ribosomal RNA
Rfam family: Bacterial small subunit ribosomal RNA
Source: RNAcentral
GACGAACGCUGGCGGCGUGCCUAAUACAUGCAAGUAGAACGCUGAAGGAGGAGCUUGCUUCUCUGGAUGAGUUGCGAACGGGUGAGUAACGCGUAGGUAACCUGCCUGGUAGCGGGGGAUAACUAUUGGAAACGAUAGCUAAUACCGCAUAAGAGUAGAUGUUGCAUGACAUUUGCUUAAAAGGUGCAAUUGCAUCACUACCAGAUGGACCUGCGUUGUAUUAGCUAGUUGGUGAGGUAACGGCUCACCAAGGCAACGAUACAUAGCCGACCUGAGAGGGUGGUCGGCCAGACUGGGACGGAGACACGGCACAGACUGCUACAGGAGGGAGCAGGAGGGAAACUUCGGCAAUGGACGGAAGUCUGACCGAGCAACGCCGCGGGAGGGAAGAAGGUUUUCGGAUCGGAAAGCUCUGUUGUAAGGGAAGAAAGAGUGUGAGAGUGGAAAGUUCACACUGUGACGGUAUCUGACCAGAAAGGGACGGCUAACUACGUG